Molecule: long non-coding RNA, 5531 nt
Filed under: Piliocolobus tephrosceles (Ugandan red Colobus)
Lineage: Eukaryota; Metazoa; Chordata; Mammalia; Primates; Cercopithecidae
Description: lncRNA (ENSPTEG00000004945.1)
Source: RNAcentral
AAGCAAACAAGUAAAACAAAUAAACAAACAAACAAGUAAAACAAAUAAACAAGUAAACAAGUAAAACAAAUAAACAAACAAAGAAGUAAAACAAAUAAACAAGCAAACAAGUAAAACGAAUAAAUAAACAAAUCAGUUGGUAGACUAAAAUAAGAAUAGACAAGAAUAAAGAAGCGACAAACACGUGAAGUUUAAAAAAAUAGGAACACGAUAGAAUUGUAUUAUAGGCAACAAUAAACAAGGACAUAUGCUAAACAAUAUAUCAUAACACAUCGCAAAAAAUAUAUAUGUAUGAGCAAACAAAAGGAUGACGAAAGAAUUAGGAAGUUUAUAUGGGAAAUCAGCACGUGGUGAAGAAACCAAUACUUACUACAAAUUGAUUGAAACAAAAGAUCAUGUGUCAGAUACAUCUACUACUACUACUACUACUAUUAGUAGUAGUAGUAGUAGUAACAGUUGUAGUCGUAGGAGAAGCAGUCAUACCACCACUAGUACACAACAUUAUGAUAACGAAUAUAUUAAAAAAGUGAAAAGAUUAAAAGAAAAAAAAAUUUUUGGGGAUAAAACUAUAGGUCAAACAGCUAGUUAUAUUUAUUUAAUUAAUCAAAUAUUUGGUUCAGGAAUAGUUGCUUUACCAUAUAUUUUUAAGAUGUCAGGAUGGUUGCCAUGUUUAAUUAUAAACAUACUUAUUUGUAUUUUGACUAUAUUUAAUACUUUAUUAUUUUUACGAUCUAUGACUAUGAUACCAAAUAAUAUACACUUUAAUAAAAGGUAUGAAUAUAUAUCAACAAUUUGUUAUUUUUUAGGUAAAAAAAUAUAUAUUUUUGGCUAUUACAAAUUUGUUAUUAUGCUAGUAUAUUAGGCAGUAAUAUAAUUUCUAUAGUUAUUGUAUCACAUGCAGUUGAUUAUAUAAUAAUAAAUUUAUUCGGUUCUACUGUUGGACUUGUUUUGUAUCCUACUAUAAACGUAACAAUAAUUACUGAUAUAAAUGAAUUUUAUUAUAGUAAAAAUUAUAUACUAUAUAUAACACUUGGAUAUGUGAUUAACACGGUUGUAUCUAUUUAUUUUUCUCAAUCGAAUUUGGAAAACAAUAUGAAAGUACAAUAUUUAUCUUUUAUUUUUUUAAUGACUACUUUAUUUGAAAUGAUAAUCUUAAGUGCUAUGAAAAUAUAUAGAUAUAACUAUGGUAAUAACGUAGAUAUGUCAUAUGUAGGUAUGUCUAUGCCUAAAAUAGUUCAAGUGCCGCCUAUCCAAUACCCGACUAUUUUUGGAAAUUAUAAUUUUAAACAACUUUUAUCUUCGUAUAUUUCUUCUUAUUCAUCUUUAACGGUUAUACCUUGUUGGGUUAAUGAAAUGAAAUCAGAUGUAAAAAUAAUUCGAACUGUUUGGAUAUCUAACUUGUUUUGUUGUUUUCUUUAUUUUAUUUUUGGUUAUGUUUUAUGUACCGCUUAUCCUAAUAUUAAUAAUGAUAACAUAUUAAAUGAUAUUUUACAAUACCCUUUUAUAAAUAUAUAUAUGAAAAUAUCAAUUUAUUUAUUUGACUUAUUAACAAUAGCACCUGGUAUAUAUGUUUAUUGUAUUGCAACCAGAUAUAAUUUAAUUAAUAGUAACUUAUGUUCAGAAAAUUUUGCUUGUUUUUUUGGUACGAUUUUACCUUUUAUUCUUGCUUUUUUUUUUAGUUCACGUGAAAUUUUUGAAACCAUGUUUAAUUGGUCUAGUUUAAUUUUCGCCUAUGCCUGUAAUUUUAUUACACCUGCUAUUAUAUAUCUAAUCGCUUGUAAAAAUAUACCAUAUUCGAAUAAAAAUCCGCUUCAUUAUAUACAUGUACUGUACAACCCAAAAGAAUAUAAAAAAGAACAACCGAUUUAUAAUAUGUUUUAUACAAAUGUUACGAAGAAUAAGGACGAUGAGCAUACUACCGGGCACCUAAACCACCCCCAACAAUAUGACCAACCCCAACAAUAUGACCAACCCCAACAAUAUGACCAACCCCAACAAUAUGACCAACCCCAACAAUAUGAGCAACCUCAACAAUAUGAGCAACCCCAACAAUAUGACCAACCCCAACAACUUGAACAACCUAACAUUUUCAUCACGAAUCCAAACAAAACAGAAUGUAGUGAUAAACGUGAUUAUAUCAUCCCUACAAGUACUCAUCCUGAAGUUAAAAAAAAACAGUUAUGUUAUGAACAAAUAUCAAAAAAAAAUGAACGAAAUUAUUUAGACAAUAAACUACAUGACCAAUUGAUGAAUACAGCAUAUGAUACAGAUGACAAACCAAUGGAUGAGGAGAAGUUAAAAUCGCCAAAUGGAUAUAUUCUCGGUUUGAUUGGAAAACAUAUACCUCCAUCUGUAAAUCUUAGAGAACAAAGUAAUUUAGCCUAUUUGAUCGAAUGCAAUGGUUAUGACAAAGAGACAGAUGGGCGUAAGAACAUUAAUUUAUUGUCACAUCAGGGGAAAUCUUUAUUUAAUGAGACAGCAGUAGUGAAUGAAAAACUAAGGAAUGAAAAACAAGACUAUGUUAAAAUGGAUAAGCUUAAGACAGAUUUCGUAGUAUCUAUAAGUGAAGAAAACAUGCAAGAGAAUUUAGAUACCCCAAAGAAUAAAAUGAGAAAAAAUAAAAAUAUAAAUAUUUCUUUUUUAAAUGAAACAAACGAUUCUAUUCUUGUAAAAAAUGACGAAAAAAGCGACGAAACAAGUACCAAAAAAAAUGCCAAGAAAAAUGCCAAAAAAUAUGACGAAAAAAAUGACGAACGGGUACCCAGAAAAGAAAAGAAAAAAAAAGUGGUAAUAAUAAACGAAGGAGACAAAAAAAUAAUAGGGGAGAAUAGCAAAAAUGAAAAACAAAAAAAUAAACAACGGGAGGAACAACAAAAACAAUCAGAACAAUGGAGCAAAAAUGAUACAUAUAUACCGUCCAAUGAUGAUUUAAAUGAAGAGGAAAAUAUAUUUUUUGUAGUAAAUAACAAUAAUAAGAAGCAGGACCAAGAGAAAGACCAAAAGGAAAAAGCAACUACACAAAACUGUAACAACUACAAUAAAAGUAUCGGUAAUAAAAAAGAAAGUAAUUCCUAUACGUUACGCAAAUAUAAAUCUAUGUAUAUCACAAAGUUUAACAAUAUUAACAAAUAUAACAUGAGAGGAAAAAGCAAAAAUAUGUGCAGUGCGAGGAAGGCAAGAAAACAUAAAACUGUUAUUGGCUUUGAAAAAAAAAAAAAAAAAAAAAAAAACUCUAUACGAAAUAAUCAACAAGAAGAAAAAGACGAAAAAGGAGAUUCUGUUAAUUGGUCCGACACAAGUGAUAUAGACAUUUUAAAUGAUAAAAUAAUAGCUGACUUAUCAAAAGAUAUAUAUAACGAUAUAAAAAUAAUAAAAAAAAAUUACGAAAGGGAUGAAUAUUUAAUCAAAUAUUCUGAUAUUUUUGAUUCAUUUUUAAAUAUAAAAUUGAUGUUGGAGAAUGAUAAAAAUAAUACAGCGUUAUCAUCUUUUGAAAAUUCGUAUAAUGUAAAUUUUGUAAAAAAAAAUAAUAAUAAUGAUAAUGAUAAUAAUAAUAAUAAUAAUAAUAAUAACCAGUUGAAGAACAGUACAAAUUUUUAUGCAACUAGUACUAACAAAGAAGAUGUAAAUGAUGAGUAUAAUAGUAGUAAACAUAUAUAUUCUAUUACGGAUCUAAACAUAUAUAAAAACAAUUAUAAUAUAUAUAACAUUAGUCCUACAAAAGAAUUACCAUAUAGUCAACAUGAUUUGAAAAAUAAGGACAUAGGCUUAAAUCAACUGGAAGAGAAAGAAAAAAACAAAGCCACUGUUAAAUUCGAAGUAGGUAAAAAUCAUUCUAGUGAAGUAAAAGAAAUGUACAAUAACUGGAAUAAAGAUGAGGGUAAACAAGAUAGUAGUUGUGAUAAUAUAGAAAUUACUAGACCAAUUAUGGACAGCCUAUGCCUAUAUAAAACUAAAACUGUCACUACUCCCAGUGCUGCGGACAGUCUAACACGCAAUAGCAUCUUUAGUAAUACUAUUCGGAAUAGGAAAAAGUUGCAAAGUGAUAUACCCAUAGAUUUAUUAGAUGAAGAAUAUAAAGCUAAAAUAAAAAAUAUAAAAAAUAAUUUUAAAUUAUUUAUUAAUGAAAUAAAUAAUAAAAAAAAUUUUACGUGGGCGUUUGACGGAAGUAAAAACAAAACCAAAACACUUGCAGUGACGAAUCAUAAUAACACUAAUGAUAGUAACAAUAAUAAUAGCAACAAUAAUAAUAGUAACAAUAAUAAUAGCAACAAUAAUAAUAGUAACAAUAAUAAUAGCAACAAUAAUAAUAGUAACAAUAAUAGCAACAAUAAUAACAGCAACAGUAAUAAUAGUAAUAAUAUAAACGUAUCAAACGUAAUUGAUGAAUUACUUCCAUGUGACCCUAAAAAAAUGUUUCCUUAUAAUAAAUCCAAAAGUGAAAAUUAUAUUAAAAAUUCUAGUUCGUUUAUCAAACAUGAUGAUUAUAAUAAAAAAAAAAUUAACAACAUAAAGACGCUAUUUUUAAAUAGAUUUUAUUCACAUGGAAGUUAUAAAAUUAAUACAAGUAAAAAUAAAUAUGAAAACAACUAUGGAAAUAUUCAUAAAUGUAUAAAAAUCAAAAGUACAAAUAAUUAUAAAAAAUAUUAUCCAUUGCAUGUAAAGAAAUGUGAAAAUACGCCAUCACAGUAUGAAUUAUCCAGUAGUGAAAGGGAGGCCGUAAAAAGUGAAAGAAGCGACGAUAAAGGGGAAGACGAAUUGGAAGACGAAGGGGAAGGUGAAGAGGAAGAUGAAAACAAAAAAUACUUAAAAAAAAAAAAGUCGAAAAAAAAUCUAUUCUACCAAGAUAAUUCCAUUUCGAGAGAACAAAUAAAAAGUAAAAAAAAUAUAAUGAACAAAAAACUAAUGAAUAUGCACGGUUUUGAUCCCGAAAGUGAUAACACAAUUGGUAGUAAAAAUAAUGAAGGUCUAAACCAGAACACUCAUGAGUAUGAUAAUGAUAAGGUUAUGGUUGAAGGGGGUUUUUACUCAGAUGAUGAUGAAAAUAAUGACGAUAAUGACGACAUUGACGAUAAUGACGAUAAAGACGAUAAUGACGAUAAAGACGAUAAUGACGACAUUGACGAUAAUGACGAUAAAGACGAUAAUGACGACAUUGACGAUAAUGACGAUAAUGACGAUGAUGACGAUAAUGACGAUGAUGAAAAUAACAUCCUAAACUCUAGCAUAUAUACAAAAAAACAAAAAAGGAAUGUGCUUUUUGCGAAAACGGAUUCUAUUAGUUCAAAUAAAAAAAAGAACACUCCAAAAGAUCGAAUUACACGUUUUUUAAAUUCUUACAGUAAAAAAAAUAAACUUUAUAAAGACAUAAAUACGCUAAAUGUUCCAGAUAAUGUAUACAAUGUUAUUCCCAAAAUUAAUAAAAUAGAUGAAAAAAAUAGUUUUGAUGAUGUAAUAAACAACAUAUUCAAUUAUUAUAAAUAUAAUUUCCUGUUAUCCUUCAGUGAACAACAUAAUAGAAAUGACAAUGACAG